Molecule: microRNA, 24 nt
Filed under: Ascaris suum (pig roundworm)
Lineage: Eukaryota; Metazoa; Nematoda; Chromadorea; Rhabditida; Ascarididae
Description: asu-miR-5363-5p
Source: miRBase by way of RNAcentral
AUGGGCAAAGUUUCUGAACCGUGU